UACGAAGGGGGCUAGCGUUGCUUGGAAUCACUGGGCGUAAAGCGCACGUAGGCGGCUUCUUAAGUCAGGGGUGAAAUCCUGGAGCUCAACUCCAGAACUGCCUUUGAUACUGAGUAGCUUGAGUCCGGGAGAGGUGAGUGGAACUGCGAGUGUAGAGGUGAAAUUCGUAGAUAUUCGCAAGAACACCAGUGGCGAAGGCGGCUCACUGGCCCGGUACUGACGCUGAGGUGCGAAAGCGUGGGGAGCAAACAGG
RNAcentral lists this ribosomal RNA (253 nucleotides) under uncultured bacterium. RNAcentral's name for it is "partial 16S ribosomal RNA". It matches the Rfam family "Bacterial small subunit ribosomal RNA", at positions 524 to 776 of the family's 1533-position model. The record is from RNAcentral.